This 301-nucleotide ribosomal RNA is filed under the name uncultured bacterium. Its description in RNAcentral is "partial 16S ribosomal RNA". It matches the Rfam family "Bacterial small subunit ribosomal RNA", at positions 509 to 807 of the family's 1533-position model. The record is from RNAcentral.
CAGUAGCCACGGUAAUACGAGGGGGGCAAGCGUUGUUCGGAAUUAUUGGGCGUAAAGGGCGCGUAGGCGGUUUGGCAAGUUUGGUGUGAAAUCUUCGGGCUCAACUCGAAGUCUGCAUCGAAAACUGCCGGGCUUGAGUAUGGGAGAGGUGAGUGGAAUUUCCGGUGUAGCGGUGAAAUGCGUAGAUAUCGGAAGGAACACCUGUGGCGAAAGCGGCUCACUGGACCAUUACUGACGCUGAGGCGCGAAAGCUAGGGGAGCAAACAGGAUUAGAUACCCCCGUAGUCCCUGUCUCUUAUAC